Molecule: ribosomal RNA, 383 nt
Filed under: Eucyclops cf. serrulatus clade II
Lineage: Eukaryota; Metazoa; Arthropoda; Copepoda; Cyclopoida; Cyclopidae
Description: partial 12S small subunit ribosomal RNA
Source: RNAcentral
CUUUAUUUAAUCAAGUCGAGAGAGUUUGUCCUGUAUUCAAAUCCUGAAAUUUUAAUUUUUUAAUAGCAUUUAAAGUCAGCUUUAAAAACCUAUGUGUGAUUUGAGUAAUUCAUAUUAUUCUUUGGGGUAACAACCAUAAAUAUGGCAAUUUAAAAUAAAUAAAAUCGGGGGUUGUCGACUCUACUUUAAAUUCUCUGAUAAGGAAAAUAACAGCCAUAUACUUUAAGUUUUUAUAUACGACUUUUAGUAUUUUAGUAUCUAGGUUCUAUUCUAGUUUCUUAGUAUUUUGUUUAGUCUUAAUACCAAAGUUAAAUGGGUAAUAUUGAACUAUAGGAUUUAUACUUUAGAUUGACACUAAAAAUCUUUCAAUAAGUGACAAAGUA